Molecule: ribosomal RNA, 587 nt
Filed under: Marchantia emarginata
Lineage: Eukaryota; Viridiplantae; Streptophyta; Marchantiopsida; Marchantiales; Marchantiaceae
Description: eukaryotic LSU rRNA
Rfam family: Eukaryotic large subunit ribosomal RNA
Source: RNAcentral
CGGAGGAAAAGAAACUAACAAGGAUUCCCCUAGUAGCGGCGAGCGAACCGGGAGAAGCCCAGCUUGAAAAUCGCGUCGCUUCACGGCGCGAGUUGUAGUCUGGAGAAGCGUCCUCUGUUGCGGACUCGGCCCAAGUUCCCUGGAAAGGGACGUCAGAGAGGGUGAGAACCCCGUCGGGCUGAGACCCUGCAGCUCCACGAGGCGCUGUCGACGAGUCGGGCUGUUUGGGAAUGCAGCCCUAAGCGGGAGGUAAAUUCCUUCCAAGGCUAAAUACAGGCGAGAGACCGAUAGCGAACAAGUACCGCGAGGGAAAGAUGAAAAGGACUUUGAAAAGAGAGUUAAAAAGUGCUUGAAAUUGCUGGGAGGGAAGCGAAUGGAGGCCUCGUGUGCGCCCCGGUCGGAUGCGGAACGGCGCGAGCUGGUCCGCCGCUCGACGCGGGGCGCUGGUCAGCGUGGGCUGGUUCGGCGGGACAAAAGUCGGGCUUCAGUGCCCGGCCGAUGCCGUCGGACCGGCCGAGGGAUCGAAGCGCGCGUCCUCAACAGGACGGGACCCCCCGGGGUCACCUGCGCGCUCGAGACGCUGCGUA